Molecule: ribosomal RNA, 106 nt
Filed under: Acinetobacter baumannii
Lineage: Bacteria; Pseudomonadati; Pseudomonadota; Gammaproteobacteria; Moraxellales; Moraxellaceae
Description: partial 16S ribosomal RNA
Rfam family: Bacterial small subunit ribosomal RNA
Source: RNAcentral
UUUAACUGAAGAGUUUGAUCAUGGCUCAGAUUGAACGCUGGCGGCAGGCUUAACACAUGCAAGUCGAGCGGGGGAAGGUAGCUUGCUACUGGACCUAGCGGCGGAC